Molecule: ribosomal RNA, 462 nt
Filed under: uncultured bacterium
Lineage: Bacteria
Description: partial 16S ribosomal RNA
Rfam family: Bacterial small subunit ribosomal RNA
Source: RNAcentral
AACAAACGCUGGCGGCGUGCCUAAUACAUGCAAGUCGAACGGGGAAAGCUUUCGGGUGAGUACUAGUGGCGCACGGGUGAGGAACGCGUGGAUAAUCUGCCUUAGAGUGGGGGAUAACUAGUCGAAAGAUUAGCUAAUACCGCAUAAGACCACGAGAGCUGCGGCUUUUGAGGUCAAAGGUUUUUCGCUCUAAGAUGAGUCCGCGUAAGAUUAGCUAGUUGGUGAGGUAACGGCUCACCAAGGCGACGAUCUUUAACUGGUCUGAGAGGAUGAUCAGUCACACUGGGACUGAGACACGGUCCAGACUCCUACGGGAGGCAGCAGUAGGGAAUAUUGCACAAUGGAGGAAACUCUGAUGCAGCGACGCCGCGUGAGUGAUGAAGGCCUUCGGGUCGUAAAGCUCUGUCGCAGGGGAAUAACACAAUGAAGGUACCCUGUAAGAAAGGAUCGGCUAACUUCGUG